AACACAUCCAAGCAAGUCUUGAAUAUCUCCAAGCCUCUUCCAGUGUUCUGUCACCCUCACAGUCAAAAAAUUCUUUGUGUUUACUUGAAACUUCCUAUGCCUCAGCUUCCAGCCAUUGCCCCUUGUCCUGUCAUCAGGCAUCGCCAAGAAGAGCCUGGCUCCAUCCUCCUGGCACUCAUUUCUCCUUCUGUGCCAGAUGACCAAUCUCGAGUUGCAGUGAGCAUUCAGAAGUUCCUCACUAGAUGGCACCAACCGUUGCUGCUGCACGAAGCCCUGACCACUGCAGGUGCACUCCCUCAGAGCAUGUUACAACCUUCAGGAAAUCUGAUAAGGAGUUCAGGCUUGUAUCUUCCGAACCUGAAUUUUACUGUAGGGCUGGCAUCAGCUUCUGCCAUCACGUGGCCACCAGCAUUAGAAGGAAAUGGACUUCUGUAACCUAACCUGAAUGUUAUAAGCAAAUAAAGCAAACCUUUUCCAUGUGCCUUAA
This is a long non-coding RNA of Pogoniulus pusillus (Red-fronted tinkerbird), 487 nucleotides long. RefSeq lists it as uncharacterized. The transcript has 3 exons. Lineage: Eukaryota; Metazoa; Chordata; Aves; Piciformes; Lybiidae. The record is from RefSeq and is a predicted model, not a curated record.